This 76-nucleotide transfer RNA is filed under the name Bacteroidales bacterium. RNAcentral describes it as "tRNA-Cys". It matches the Rfam family "tRNA". Rfam says of the family: Transfer RNA (tRNA) molecules are approximately 80 nucleotides in length. Their secondary structure includes four short double-helical elements and three loops (D, anti-codon, and T loops). Further hydrogen bonds mediate the characteristic L-shaped molecular structure. tRNAs have two regions of fundamental functional importance: the anti-codon, which is responsible for specific mRNA codon recognition, and the 3' end, to which the tRNAs corresponding amino acid is attached (by aminoacyl-tRNA synthetases). tRNAs cope with the degeneracy of the genetic code in two manners: having more than one tRNA (with a specific anti-codon) for a particular amino acid; and 'wobble' base-pairing, i.e. permitting non-standard base-pairing at the 3rd anti-codon position. The record is from RNAcentral. Lineage: Bacteria; Pseudomonadati; Bacteroidota; Bacteroidia; Bacteroidales.
GGCGCCGUACUCAAGUGGUUAAGGGAAAGGUUCGCAAGACCUUAUUUCAGUGGUUCGAAUCCACUCGGCGCCUCCA